This 261-nucleotide ribosomal RNA is filed under the name uncultured prokaryote. RNAcentral describes it as "partial 16S ribosomal RNA". It matches the Rfam family "Bacterial small subunit ribosomal RNA", at positions 524 to 784 of the family's 1533-position model. The record is from RNAcentral.
UACGUAGGUGGCAAGCGUUAUCCGGAUUUACUGGGUGUAAAGGGCGUGUAGGCGGGUUUGCAAGUUGGAUGUGAAAUCCUCAGGCUUAACCUGAGAGGGUCAUCCAAAACUGCAGAUCUUGAGUACUGGAGAGGAUAGUGGAAUUCCUAGUGUAGCGGUGAAAUGCGUAGAGAUAUGGAGGAACACCAGUGGCGAAGGCGGCUUCCUGGUCUGUAACUGACACUGAGGCGCGAAAGCGUGGGGAGCAAACAGGAUUAGAUA